GGAUAACCUGCCCUAUUGUCUGGAAUAACCUCGGGAAACUGAGAACAAGGCUGGAUAGCCCACAAUGCCUGGAACGGUUUGUGGGUGAAGAUAGGAUGGGUCUGCGGCGUAUCAGGUUGUAGGGGGUGUAAUGGACCUCCUAGCCAUCGACGCGUACGGGUGUUGGGAGACAUAGCCCGGAGAUGGAUUCUGAGACACGAAUCCAGACCCUACGGGGUGCAGCAGGCGCGAAAACUUCACAGUGCAGGAAACUGUGAUGAGGGAACUCCAAGUGCUAUCACUAUGUGGUAGCUUUUCUUGACUAUUAAUCGGUCAUGGAAUAAGGGCUGGGAAAGACCGGUGCCAGCCGCCGCGGUAAUACCGGCAGCUCAAGUGGUCGUCGCUUUUAUUGGGCCUAAAACGUCCGUAGCCUGUUUGGUAAAUCUGUGGGUAAAUCAACCAGCUUAACUGGUUGAAUUCUGCAGAGACUGCCAGACUAGGGACCGGGAGAGGUGUGGGGUACUCUAGGGGUAGGGGUAAAAUCCUGUCAUCCUUAGAGGACCACCAGUUGCGAAGGCGCCACACUGGAACGGAUCUGACGGUCAGGGACGAAGCCUAGGGGCACGAACCGGAUUAGAUACCCGGGUAGUCCUAGGUGUAAACGCUGUGAAUCUUGGUGUCGGGGAUCCGUAAUGGUCCCUCGGUGCCGGAUGUGAAGACGUUAAUGUUCAGCUUCCUGGGGAGUAUCGGUCGCAAGUAUGACACUU
This 746-nucleotide ribosomal RNA is filed under the name uncultured Candidatus Poseidoniales archaeon. Its description in RNAcentral is "bacterial SSU rRNA". It matches the Rfam family "Archaeal small subunit ribosomal RNA", at positions 102 to 857 of the family's 1478-position model. The record is from RNAcentral. Lineage: Archaea; Methanobacteriati; Thermoplasmatota; Candidatus Poseidoniia; Candidatus Poseidoniales.